AUUAAACGCUGGCGGCAUGCCUUACACAUGCAAGUCGAACGGCAGCACGGGGGCAACCCUGGUGGCGAGUGGCGAACGGGUGAGUAAAGCAUCGGAACGUGCCCUGGAGUGGGGGAUAACGUAGCGAAAGUUACGCUAAUACCGCAUAUUCUGUGAGCAGGAAAGCAGGGGAUCGCAAGACCUUGCGCUCUGGGAGCGGCCGAUGUCGGAUUAGCUAGUUGGUGGGGUAAAGGCCUACCAAGGCGACGAUCCGUAGCGGGUCUGAGAGGAUGAUCCGCCACACUGGGACUGAGACACGGCCCAGACUCCUACGGGAGGCAGCAGUGGGGAAUUUUGGACAAUGGGCGGAAGCCUGAUCCAGCCAUGCCGCGUGAGUGAAGAAGGCC
Molecule: ribosomal RNA, 386 nt
Filed under: uncultured bacterium
Lineage: Bacteria
Description: bacterial SSU rRNA
Rfam family: Bacterial small subunit ribosomal RNA
Source: RNAcentral